Molecule: ribosomal RNA, 510 nt
Filed under: uncultured bacterium
Lineage: Bacteria
Description: partial 16S ribosomal RNA
Rfam family: Bacterial small subunit ribosomal RNA
Source: RNAcentral
GACGAACGCUGGCGGCGUGCUUAACACAUGCAAGUCGAACGAAGAGCGACGGAAGCUUGCUUCUAUCAAUCUUAGUGGCGAACGGGUGAGUAACGCGUAAUCAACCUGCCCUUCAGAGGGGGACAACAGUUGGAAACGACUGCUAAUACCGCAUACGAUCUAAUCUCGGCAUCGAGGAUGGAUGAAAGGUGGCCUCUACAUGUAAGCUAUCACUGAAGGAGGGGAUUGCGUCUGAUUGGCUAGUUGGAGGGGUAACGGCCCACCAAGGCGAUGAUCAGUAGCUGGUCUGAGAGGAUGAACGGCCACAUUGGGACUGAGACACGGCCCAGACUCCUACGGGAGGCAGCAGUGGGGAAUCUUCCGCAAUAGACGAAAGUCUGACGGAGCAACGCCGCGUGAGUGAUGACGGCCUUCGGGUUGUAAAGCUCUGUUAAUCGGGACGAAAGGCCUUCUUGCGAAUAGUGAGAAGGAUUGACGGUACCGGAAUAGAAAGCCACGGCUAACUACGUG